AUGAGCAAAGAGAUAUCAACCAAGGGUGAUGUCUAUAGCUUCGGAGUGCUUCUGUUACAAUUGAUAACAAGGUGUAGUCCAACUGAUGAAAAAUUUAACGAUGGUAUACGCCUCCAUGAAUUUGUUGAUAGAGCAUUUAUAAAGAAUAUUCAUGAGGUUGUUGACCCGACAAUGCUACAAGAUAACAGCAAUGCAACUGACAUGAUGGAGAAGUGCGUCAUUCCACUUUUAAGAAUAGGCCUCUCUUUCUCUAUGACAUCACCCAAAGAGCGGCCGGGUAUGGCACAAGUUUCUACUGAGAUACUUAGAAUAAAGCAUGUGGCCUCAGACACAUGCGUGUCUGAUGAAGCAGAUAAUUGGCAGGAUAGUAGCAAGCAACAGAAGUUCAUGUAA
Molecule: ribosomal RNA, 393 nt
Filed under: Triticum aestivum (bread wheat)
Lineage: Eukaryota; Viridiplantae; Streptophyta; Magnoliopsida; Poales; Poaceae
Description: partial small subunit ribosomal RNA
Source: RNAcentral